Non-coding RNA from Thelephora terrestris, 98 nucleotides. Lineage: Eukaryota; Fungi; Basidiomycota; Agaricomycetes; Thelephorales; Thelephoraceae. The record is from the annotation of a GenBank genome assembly.
GCCCGUUUAGCACAGUGGUAGUGCGUGUCACUCGUAACCAGGUGGUCUUCACCGCUUGCGCAAUGACAAGGUCGAUCGUUCGAUCCGGUCAAUGGGCA